AGAGUUUGAUCCUGGCUCAGGACUAACGCUGGCGGCGUGCCUAACACAUGCAAGUCGAACGGGCUGUAGCAAUACAGUCAGUGGCAGACGGGUGAGUAACACGUAGAUAACCUACCCCUUCGUUGGGGAUAGCCACUGGAAACGGUGGGUAAAACCGAAUAUUCUCUGUUGAAGGCAUCUUCGAUAGAGGAAAACUUAGG
This 200-nucleotide ribosomal RNA is filed under the name uncultured bacterium. Its description in RNAcentral is "partial 16S ribosomal RNA". It matches the Rfam family "Bacterial small subunit ribosomal RNA", at positions 8 to 212 of the family's 1533-position model. The record is from RNAcentral.